CUCAAGUAAUGGACAAUGACAACCGAGAUGCAAAUUCUGGUACUAUUGAAGUGCAGGAAGAGAAAACAGAGACCGUAGAGGAUGAGCUAUUAUAUGCCACAGUGAAUCAUUCAGGUGCUGGUGAAAACUCUGGUCCUGCAGUGAAGUUUGAAUCAGGAACGGAUU
Molecule: long non-coding RNA, 165 nt
Organism: Sinocyclocheilus grahami
Lineage: Eukaryota; Metazoa; Chordata; Actinopteri; Cypriniformes; Cyprinidae
Exons: 3
Source: RefSeq, a predicted model, not a curated record